AGCAGCCGCGGUAAUUCCAGCUCCAAUAGCGUAUAUUAAAGUUGCUGCAGUUAAAAAGCUCGUAGUUGAAUUUCGGGAUCAAUAUGUCGGUCGUGCCUCGGUACGUACUGGCAUCGUUGGUUUCUCCUUUCUGAAGAACCAUGAUGUCAUUUAUUUGGUGUCGUGGGAAAUCAGGACUGUUACUUUGAAAAAAUUAGAGUGUUUAAAGCAGGCUCACGCUUGAAUACAUUAGCAUGGAAUAAUGAAAUAGGACGUUUGAUUCUAUUUUGUUGGUUUCUAGGAUCGACGUAAUGAUUAAUAGGGAUAGUUGGGGGCAUUAGUAUUCAAUUGUCAGAGGUGAAAUUCUUGGAUUUAUUGAAGACUAACUACUGCGAAAGCAUUUGCCAAGGAUGUUUUCAUUAAUCAAGAACGAAAGUUAGGGGAUCGAAGACGAUCAGAUACCGUCGUAGU
Molecule: ribosomal RNA, 450 nt
Filed under: uncultured Glomeromycotina
Lineage: Eukaryota; Fungi; Glomeromycota
Description: SSU rRNA
Rfam family: Eukaryotic small subunit ribosomal RNA
Source: RNAcentral